Molecule: long non-coding RNA, 3306 nt
Filed under: Mus musculus (house mouse)
Lineage: Eukaryota; Metazoa; Chordata; Mammalia; Rodentia; Muridae
Description: long non-coding RNA chr6:88802709-88806015
Source: RNAcentral
UUUUUUUUUUUUUUUUUUUUGCACACAAGCCUAUGGAAAAUAGUUCAGAACCCCAGCACUCGGGAGCCAGAGGCGGGUGGAUUUCUGUGAGUUUGAAGACAGCCUGGUCCUCAGAAAGGACAGGUAGUAAUGUUGUGUGUAAAACUGAGACUAAGGUUGUUUAAUAAUAGAUCAGGAAAAGAUUACUAAGUGCUUGUUUAUAUCAGUACAGUUCUAGUGUGUUUGGAGUGUGUUUGUUCUGGAUAGGGGUGCUUUGCUUUUUUCAAACUGGGGGUGCACCUCAGAGCCCUCUGAUCGUGCCCUGCUCAUAAACAUGCCACAUAGGGUCCCACAGAAAGCCAGGAGGCCCAAGGAUCAAGGAAAAAAACCCACAGGGAGCUCCCACUGUGACUUCCACAGAAAGGGCUGGACAGCAAGGGUCAGCAAGGCUCAGGUGGGCUGGGUGGGAUGACUUCAAGGCUGCCGGGCAGGCAUGGGGCUGUCCCUCGCUGACUCCUUGCCUACAGAUGAUUAUGGGAAGGUGGUCACAUAGCCAGGACCUGAUAAGGGCGGUGGCUGUGGCCGGUGUGGUUUCGAGCAGGCUGAUACAUUUUAAAGGCUAGCUCACAAGCAGUUUGUUAACUCUGCAGUAACAGCCAACCCUGGAAGGGCAGGGCCAAGCCCUCUGGAAUAAGUAAAGCCUGAAUAUACAUAAAUAAUAAAUGAAAACGGUGAACACGAUUGAGCAUGGUGGUUACACCUGUGAUCCCUGAGGAUGACUGGAACUCACUGCUCCAGGCCAGGAGUUGUCACUGCAGUUCAGAGCCUGCUGCUCAGUGGAUCCUGGUCACAGAGUGGUUAAGGGAAAUGGCAGCAGAGUCUCUCUGGCAAGGGGCCAUUAAGGAACUCUUCCUACAGUGCUUUCAAUAGAUGCCCAUCACAUACCUGUCCUCUGCCAGGCCCUCUCAGACCCUGCACCAUGGAUAGGUGGACACGUGUGUUCCUUCCUCGUAAGAAAGAUUGCAGCAAAUACAGCCUCAAAGAGCUUAAUCUCUGGCCUGGACAGCAAGACGAAUGCACUUCCUGGUCAGAGGGAUGGUGCAGCAAAGUGUGGUCAUGUCUCGGAACCGUGGGCACAGGGCUUGGAAUGUGCUGGAUCGAAGGCCACAGGGCCAGUGGGCGCCUUCGGCAGAGUCAAGACCACUGGGCUAGAACAUGAGGAUUGUGUUCUGAAACGAAGGGAGAUACAAGAGCACAGGAGCCCCCACUUUGAAGCUGCUCAAGAAGAGGAAGGACAGGCACAGCUAACUUAGAACAGUGAGCACAUCCGAGGUCUCAAACCUGCAAGUCACAUGGAAGCUGACUUGGGAGACCAAAGGGUGGGGAAAGGUGGACAGAUGGAAGCCCAGAGCUAGCACCAGCCAUGUUUGGAGACUAGAUGAUUAGAGGGAUCACGGGGUAUGAGCUCUGCUGGGUAGAGGGCAGAGAUAAGCUAACACUGGGUGACAGAGUAGCUCGUGAACACGUGAAGGGGACUGGGCUGAAAUCCAGAAGGAGUGUACACACUAAGUGUGUUGAUGCCAGCUUGCAGUCCCAACUACUGGGGAGGUUAAAGCAGGAGGACUGAGUUCAAGGUGAGGCUGGCCUGCAGAGUUGAGUUCAAAGGCCAGUAGGGGUUACAGAAUGAGUUCAAAUCCAGCCUGGUUAGGGAGAAUGUGGGGUGAUGGCUCAGCAGUUAACACUGGACUGCUCAGGCUGAGGAUCUCAGUUCUGUUCCCAAAACCCACAUGGUGGCUCACACCAUCUGUAACCACAGUUCCAGGAAAUCCAAUGCCCCCUUCUGGCCUCCACUGGCACCAGGCACUUUCUUGGAACACAGAGAGGUGGAUGAAGAGAUGACUCAGUGGUAUAGGGUACAUGCUACUCUUGCAGAGAACCUGGGUUCAGUUCCUAGGACCCAUGUCAGACAGCUCACAACUCCAGUUCCAGGGGAUCCAAUUCCUCUAACCCAGUCAGUGGUUUCCAGCCUUCCUAACGCUUUGACCCUUUAAUACAAUUCUUCUUAUUGUGGUGACUGCCAACCAUAAUUUUAUUUUCAUUGUUAUUUUAUAACUAAUUUUGCUACCGUUUUGAAUCAUAAUGCAUGUGGGAUUGUUAAUCAUAUUCAGGAUAUUUGAUAUGCAACCCUUGUGAAGGGGCUGUUUGAUCCCCCAAAAGGGUCAUGGCCCACAGGUUGAGAACCAGUGUUCUAAGUUCUUUAUGUGCACACAUAUGUAUGUGCAUAUAUCCCACCCCACACCCACAUACACAUAAUUUUAAAAGAGAUUACAUUUUUUUAAAAAAAUAAGUGUGGCAUUGAGGUGUGGGUCCAUGGGAGAGCAUUUGCCCAGCAUGAACAAGGCUCUUCUGGGCUCAGCUCUCAACACUGAGAACAAAUAAACAAAGCCCACAAGUAGGUCGGACUCAAAUGGAACAGGAACUCUAGUGCCACGGUGACAUCAUAGUUUAGGAAGUAAGAGAGGUCUCUCCAGUACCUUCUGCCAAAAUGACAAGGAGCUGGGGAUUGGAGCUGAGUUGUGGAUCGUACCGUAUACCCAUUGCUUUGGUGGUAAAUGCUGCUGAACCGCCAAACUUCACAUGGUCGAUUUAAUCCCAGAUGAAUAUCAACCCAAGUAGAUGAAAGAUAAAAAAGCUCGAGCCACAAGGCCAUGUCUGGAGGUCAAGGGCGUUGUCAGAGUUCAGACUUCCCAGCUCUUAAAAUCUGCAGCCUACUUCUGAGUGAUUCAUCUGUUCUUCGUUUAUAAGUUUUUUGCCUUAGCUUCAUUUCCUGUUGCUAUGAUAACACACAUAUGCGCACGCAUGCGCGCGCGUGCACGCGCACACACACACACACACACACAAGGAAGAAAGGCUCUUAGGGGGGGGCUCACAGUUCCAGCAGUUCUUUAUGGUGAGGGAGGCAGGGAGACAAGAAGCUGGAGCCGCUGGCCACACCACAUCUGCACCAGGAGCUAAGAGCGAUGGGCAUACUCAUCUACCACUUGGCUUUCUCCAUUUUAUUGGAUCCCAUGCCUAGGGAGCCUCACCCGCAGUUAAGAUGGGUCUUCCUGACUCAAGUAAUAUAACCAAGACAACUCCCUGAACCCUUGCCACACUGGCAGCCCAUCGCCGACGUGGUGACAAAUUCUGCCAUAUUGACAUUAGUGUUAACCAUGGCAUGUGUACAGACAGGAAGCAAAGUGGCAGCUUUUCAGUCAAGAUUGUAGGAAUGUGGAUAUUUAUGUGAAUACUCUUCUGCAAAGUUUUUACACACUUGAAAUUUUUCUG